This 434-nucleotide ribosomal RNA is filed under the name uncultured bacterium. Its description in RNAcentral is "bacterial SSU rRNA". It matches the Rfam family "Bacterial small subunit ribosomal RNA", at positions 958 to 1392 of the family's 1533-position model. The record is from RNAcentral.
AACGCGAAGAACCUUACCUGGUCUUGACAUCCCGGUGACCGCAGAGUAAUGUCUGCUUUCCUUCGGGACACUGGAGACAGGUGGUGCAUGGUUGUCGUCAGCUCGUGUCGUGAGAUGUUGGGUUAAGUCCCGCAACGAGCGCAACCCCUAUCUUUAGUAGCCAGCAUUUAAGGUGGGCACUCUAGAGAGACUGCCAGGGAUAACUUGGAGGAAGGUGGGGAUGACGUCAAAUCAUCAUGCCCCUUAUGACCAGGGCUACACACGUGCUACAAUGGCGUAAACAAAGGGAAGCGAGACCGCGAGGUGGAGCAAAUCCCAAAAAUAACGUCUCAGUUCGGAUUGUAGUCUGCAACUCGACUACAUGAAGCUGGAAUCGCUAGUAAUCGCGAAUCAGAAUGUCGCGGUGAAUACGUUCCCGGGUCUUGUACACACCG